GGAUUGUGGCUCAGUGGUCGAGCUCUUGCCUAGCAUGUGUGAGGCAUUGGGUUCGAAUCUCAGCACCA
Molecule: transfer RNA, 68 nt
Filed under: Marmota monax (woodchuck)
Lineage: Eukaryota; Metazoa; Chordata; Mammalia; Rodentia; Sciuridae
Description: tRNA.Ala
Source: RNAcentral